This 469-nucleotide ribosomal RNA is filed under the name Streptococcus anginosus. RNAcentral's name for it is "bacterial SSU rRNA". It matches the Rfam family "Bacterial small subunit ribosomal RNA", at positions 28 to 471 of the family's 1533-position model. Lineage: Bacteria; Bacillati; Bacillota; Bacilli; Lactobacillales; Streptococcaceae. The record is from RNAcentral.
GACGAACGCUGGCGGCGUGCCUAAUACAUGCAAGUAGGACGCACAGUUUAUACCGUAGCUUGCUACACCAUAGACUGUGAGUUGCGAACGGGUGAGUAACGCGUAGGUAACCUACCUAUUAGAGGGGGAUAACUAUUGGAAACGAUAGCUAAUACCGCAUAACAGUAUGUAACACAUGUUAGAUGCUUGAAAGAUGCAAUUGCAUCGCUAGUAGAUGGACCUGCGUUGUAUUAGCUAGUAGGUAGGGUAAAGGCCUACCUAGGCAACGAUACAUAGCCGACCUGAGAGGGUGAUCGGCCACACUGGGACUGAGACACGGCCCGGACUCCUACGGGAGGCAGCAGUAGGGAAUCUUCGGCAAUGGGGGGAACCCUGACCGAGCAACGCCGCGUGAGUGAAGAAGGUUUUCGGAUCGUAAAGCUCUGUUGUUAAGGAAGAACGAGUGUGAGAAUGGAAAGUUCAUGCUGUG